This 88-nucleotide transfer RNA is filed under the name archaeon. RNAcentral describes it as "tRNA-Leu". It matches the Rfam family "tRNA". From Rfam's summary of the family: Transfer RNA (tRNA) molecules are approximately 80 nucleotides in length. Their secondary structure includes four short double-helical elements and three loops (D, anti-codon, and T loops). The record is from RNAcentral.
GCGGGGGUACCCGAGCCUGGUCAAAGGGGCAGGGCUUAGGACCCUGUGGCGUAGGCCUGCGUGGGUUCAAAUCCCACCCCCCGCACCA